Molecule: long non-coding RNA, 1118 nt
Organism: Mercurialis annua (annual mercury)
Lineage: Eukaryota; Viridiplantae; Streptophyta; Magnoliopsida; Malpighiales; Euphorbiaceae
Exons: 2
Source: RefSeq, a predicted model, not a curated record
UAAAAAAAAAAAAAAAAAAAACGUGUUGGGUUUUGAAUUUUGAGUGUUAUUUCUAGAGGAAAUUAGACUAGGCACGGUGCAAACCCAUUUUAUUCUCAACGACACGGCAGACUUUGUUUGAUUGCAAAAUUACGACCCAAACUGAUUUUUUUAAAUUUUUUAUCUUUUAAUUUUUUGUUUAUACUCUGCAAUAACAUAAAAAAUACAUCCCACUUGGAUUUAAUCUGAUCAGCUCACCACCGCCACCAACUCCAACUCCCGUUAGCUCUCCACCACCAGCUCCAGUUCCGGUUAUUUGAGUCUGAUUUGAUUAUUACGAUGUCGCCGUUGCCGCUCUCUUAAUGACGUCGUGGUUGCGCCGCUACUUAAUGGCAGAAAUUAGGGAUUCUGAUGAUGUCGUUGUCGGAACUGAAAAUGGCAACUCCGACAAUGAGGACGCUUAUUAACUGUGCUAGGUUAUCAAAGGAUGUUGAAUGGUUUGAGAAGAUGCCAAGUUUUCUAUUAAUUGCCUGAAGAUGCCAAGUUUUGUCCUUGAAAGGAAUUAAGGAUGCAGGAUAUGAGAAAUUGAUUGUUGUUCAGGAGGCCACUCUUCCCCUUAUACUAAAAGGAGAAAUUGAUCCUCAUACUCAUCUAGAAAUGGAUUUUAUGGGUAUUUGAACCGUUGAUGACUUCUUUACUGGUCAGGUUGCAGCUUUAGCAGGUGGAACAACAAUGCAUGCAUAUUGACUUUGCUAAACCAGCCAAUGGAAGUUUAAUGGUUGGUUUGGAAACUUAUAAGAAGGCAAAGAAGGCUUACAUAGAUUAUGUAUUUCAUAUUGCAAUUAUCAAAUGGGAUGAAGCUGUUUCACAGGAAACGGAAAUUAUAAUGAAGGAAAAAUGUCAUUCACUCGGUUAAAUUACAAUUCACAUUAUCAAGAUCUGGUUUGAAUGAAUUUGAAUUUCAAGGAAUGAAAAGAUUGAAUCUCUAUAUCACCAUUUUUAAGCGUUGGCGGGUUUCCUUGAAACACACUCAUUUCCUUUUCAUCCAAGAAACUCUUGUAAUACUUACUUUAUAUGUAAUUAUGUCAAUUAAAUGUUAUGGUUUAUGCUUGUUUCUAUCACGAUAUGUAAUUUUAAAA